RNAcentral lists this ribosomal RNA (317 nucleotides) under Austropallene cornigera. Its description in RNAcentral is "eukaryotic LSU rRNA". It matches the Rfam family "Eukaryotic large subunit ribosomal RNA", at positions 666 to 944 of the family's 3401-position model. Lineage: Eukaryota; Metazoa; Arthropoda; Pycnogonida; Pantopoda; Callipallenidae. The record is from RNAcentral.
CCAAGGAGUCUGACAUGUGCGCAAGCCGUCGCGCAACUCAAGCGCUGAAGGCACAGUGAAAGCAUUGGUCGACGCUCGUCGUCGGCCGUAGUUGGGAUCCCCGGACCCUCGGGUUUGCAGGGGCGCACCAACCGUCCGCCUACUCAGUCUUGUUCUGUGUGGCGGGACGUGAGCGGACACGUCGGGACCCGAAAGGUGGUGAACUAUGCCUGGGCAGGACGAAGCCAGAGGAAACUCUGGUGGAGGUCCGUAGCGAUUCUGACGUGCAAAUCGAUCGUCGGACCUGGGUAUAGGGGCGAAAGACUAAUCGAACCUCC